UUUUAUUCAUCGAUAUCGCGCGCAUCUCGCGUAUACGCGAUGAAAUAUCGGAAGUCGCGAGUGCGUGAAUUACGGGAGUGUUGUGUUUUGUAUUAUUUGUCGUCGUUGCCUGUCGAUUAACGCUAAAAUUAGUAAAAUUUAGCUCGAUUAAUCCUAAGUGCAGUGAAUAUCAUGGAACGCUGUGCAAUCAUCGCCACCCACAAUACAAGGUGCGGUUAAAUCUACAUCCACAAUUAAAUUUCUAUCGAAUUUACCGAAUUAUCGUAAUUGCUGAAAGAAUCUGGAAGGAUCAAGUGGUAACGCAUGAUAAAAUGAAGAAAUGAAAGGUUUGGACUGC
Formica exsecta is the source of this 337-nucleotide long non-coding RNA. RefSeq lists it as uncharacterized. The record is from RefSeq and is a predicted model, not a curated record. NCBI's taxonomy places the organism in Eukaryota, Metazoa, Arthropoda, Insecta, Hymenoptera, Formicidae. The transcript has 3 exons.